Molecule: transfer RNA, 82 nt
Filed under: Candidatus Gottesmanbacteria bacterium
Lineage: Bacteria; Candidatus Gottesmaniibacteriota
Description: tRNA-Ser
Rfam family: tRNA
About the family: Transfer RNA (tRNA) molecules are approximately 80 nucleotides in length. Their secondary structure includes four short double-helical elements and three loops (D, anti-codon, and T loops). Further hydrogen bonds mediate the characteristic L-shaped molecular structure. tRNAs have two regions of fundamental functional importance: the anti-codon, which is responsible for specific mRNA codon recognition, and the 3' end, to which the tRNAs corresponding amino acid is attached (by aminoacyl-tRNA synthetases). tRNAs cope with the degeneracy of the genetic code in two manners: having more than one tRNA (with a specific anti-codon) for a particular amino acid; and 'wobble' base-pairing, i.e. permitting non-standard base-pairing at the 3rd anti-codon position.
Source: RNAcentral
GGAGGGUGGGCAGGACGGUAAUGCGCUAGUCUUGAAAACUAGUGGGCGCAAGCCCUAAGAGGUUCGACCCCUCUACCCUCCG